CCCUUUGCUAUACCACCCUGCAUCCCACUGCUGGUUUGCUUCUGAAGCUAAGCAGGGUUGGUCCUGGUCAGUCCCUGGAUGGGAGACCAGAUGCUGCUGGAAGUGGAAGUGG
RNAcentral lists this ribosomal RNA (112 nucleotides) under Hucho hucho (huchen). The record is from RNAcentral. Lineage: Eukaryota; Metazoa; Chordata; Actinopteri; Salmoniformes; Salmonidae.